RNAcentral lists this ribosomal RNA (2324 nucleotides) under Salmonella enterica subsp. enterica serovar Kaapstad. RNAcentral's name for it is "partial 23S ribosomal RNA". It matches the Rfam family "Bacterial large subunit ribosomal RNA", at positions 554 to 2860 of the family's 2925-position model. Lineage: Bacteria; Pseudomonadati; Pseudomonadota; Gammaproteobacteria; Enterobacterales; Enterobacteriaceae. The record is from RNAcentral.
AACCGCAAAAGAAGCAGAGGGGGCUUAGUGGUGGGGUGACUGCGUACCUUUUGUAUAAUGGGUCAGCGACUUAUAUUCUGUAGCAAGGUUAACCGAAUAGGGGAGCCGGAGGGAAACCGAGUCUUAAUUGGGCGUUAAGUUGCAGGGUAUAGACCCGAAACCCGGUGAUCUAGCCAUGGGCAGGUUGAAGGUUGGGUAACACUAACUGGAGGACCGAACCGACUAAUGUUGAAAAAUUAGCGGAUGACCUGUGGCUGGGGGUGAAAGGCCAAUCAAACCGGGAGAUAGCUGGUUCUCCCCGAAAGCUAUUUAGGUAGCGCCUCGUGAAUUCAUCUCCGGGGGUAGAGCACUGUUUCGGCUAGGGGGCCAUCCCGGCUUACCAACCCGAUGCAAACUGCGAAUACCGGAGAAUGUUAUCACGGGAGACACACGGCGGGUGCUAACGUCCGUCGUGAAGAGGGAAACAACCCAGACCGCCAGCUAAGGUCCCAAAGUCAUGGUUAAGUGGGAAACGAUGUGGGAAGGCCCAGACAGCCAGGAUGUUGGCUUAGAAGCAGCCAUCAUUUAAAGAAAGCGUAAUAGCUCACUGGUCGAGUCGGCCUGCGCGGAAGAUGUAACGGGGCUAAACCAUGCACCGAAGCUGCGGCAGCGACGCUGAUGCGUUGUUGGGUAGGGGAGCGUUCUGUAAGCCUGCGAAGGUGGCCUGUGAGGGUUGCUGGAGGUAUCAGAAGUGCGAAUGCUGACAUAAGUAACGAUAAAGCGGGUGAAAAGCCCGCUCGCCGGAAGACCAAGGGUUCCUGUCCAACGUUAAUCGGGGCAGGGUGAGUCGACCCCUAAGGCGAGGCCGAAAGGCGUAGUCGAUGGGAAACGGGUUAAUAUUCCCGUACUUGGUGUUACUGCGAAGGGGGGACGGAGAAGGCUAUGUUGGCCGGGCGACGGUUGUCCCGGUUUAAGCGUGUAGGUGUGUGUUCCAGGUAAAUCCGGUUCACUUUAACACUGAGGCGUGAUGACGAGGCACUACGGUGCUGAAGCAACAAAUGCCCUGCUUCCAGGAAAAGCCUCUAAGCAUCAGGUAACAUCAAAUCGUACCCCAAACCGACACAGGUGGUCAGGUAGAGAAUACCAAGGCGCUUGAGAGAACUCGGGUGAAGGAACUAGGCAAAAUGGUGCCGUAACUUCGGGAGAAGGCACGCUGACACGUAGGUGAAGUGAUUUACUCAUGGAGCUGAAGUCAGUCGAAGAUACCAGCUGGCUGCAACUGUUUAUUAAAAACACAGCACUGUGCAAACACGAAAGUGGACGUAUACGGUGUGACGCCUGCCCGGUGCCGGAAGGUUAAUUGAUGGGGUCAGCGCAAGCGAAGCUCCUGAUCGAAGCCCCGGUAAACGGCGGCCGUAACUAUAACGGUCCUAAGGUAGCGAAAUUCCUUGUCGGGUAAGUUCCGACCUGCACGAAUGGCGUAAUGAUGGCCAGGCUGUCUCCACCCGAGACUCAGUGAAAUUGAACUCGCUGUGAAGAUGCAGUGUACCCGCGGCAAGACGGAAAGACCCCGUGAACCUUUACUAUAGCUUGACACUGAACAUUGAGCCUUGAUGUGUAGGAUAGGUGGGAGGCUUUGAAGUGUGGACGCCAGUCUGCAUGGAGCCGACCUUGAAAUACCACCCUUUAAUGUUUGAUGUUCUAACGUGGACCCGUGAUCCGGGUUGCGGACAGUGUCUGGUGGGUAGUUUGACUGGGGCGGUCUCCUCCUAAAGAGUAACGGAGGAGCACGAAGGUUGGCUAAUCCUGGUCGGACAUCAGGAGGUUAGUGCAAUGGCAUAAGCCAGCUUGACUGCGAGCGUGACGGCGCGAGCAGGUGCGAAAGCAGGUCAUAGUGAUCCGGUGGUUCUGAAUGGAAGGGCCAUCGCUCAACGGAUAAAAGGUACUCCGGGGAUAACAGGCUGAUACCGCCCAAGAGUUCAUAUCGACGGCGGUGUUUGGCACCUCGAUGUCGGCUCAUCACAUCCUGGGGCUGAAGUAGGUCCCAAGGGUAUGGCUGUUCGCCAUUUAAAGUGGUACGCGAGCUGGGUUUAGAACGUCGUGAGACAGUUCGGUCCCUAUCUGCCGUGGGCGCUGGAGAACUGAGGGGGGCUGCUCCUAGUACGAGAGGACCGGAGUGGACGCAUCACUGGUGUUCGGGUUGUCAUGCCAAUGGCACUGCCCGGUAGCUAAAUGCGGAAGAGAUAAGUGCUGAAAGCAUCUAAGCACGAAACUUGCCCCGAGAUGAGUUCUCCCUGAGACUUUAGGUCUCCUGAAGGAACGUUGAAGACGACGACGUUGAUAGG